Molecule: small nuclear RNA, 99 nt
Filed under: Ursus americanus (American black bear)
Lineage: Eukaryota; Metazoa; Chordata; Mammalia; Carnivora; Ursidae
Source: RNAcentral
GUGAUACCUUUGGCAGCACAUAUACUAAAACUGGAACAAAGAGAAGAUUAGCACCCUAUGCAAAAAUGACUUGCAAAUUUAACUUCAUUUCAUUUUUUU